GCACGCUGCCACGGGUGUCCGGCGCGCCGGGCUGAGAGGUGGGUUCGCGGCCCACGACCGUUCGCACCUGAAUCGGAUCAUGCCGACGCAGGAAGGGCACCGGACCUCCCAC
RNAcentral lists this non-coding RNA (112 nucleotides) under Saccharomonospora sp. RNAcentral's name for it is "TPP sequence". It matches the Rfam family "TPP riboswitch aptamer (THI element)". Rfam says of the family: Vitamin B(1) in its active form thiamin pyrophosphate (TPP) is an essential coenzyme that is synthesised by coupling of pyrimidine and thiazole moieties in bacteria. The previously detected thiamin-regulatory element, thi box was extended, resulting in a new, highly conserved RNA secondary structure, the THI element, which is widely distributed in eubacteria and also occurs in some archaea. The record is from RNAcentral. Lineage: Bacteria; Bacillati; Actinomycetota; Actinomycetes; Pseudonocardiales; Pseudonocardiaceae.